RNAcentral lists this ribosomal RNA (253 nucleotides) under uncultured bacterium. Its description in RNAcentral is "partial 16S ribosomal RNA". It matches the Rfam family "Bacterial small subunit ribosomal RNA", at positions 524 to 776 of the family's 1533-position model. The record is from RNAcentral.
UACGGAGGGUGCAAGCGUUAUCCGGAUUCACUGGGUUUAAAGGGUGCGUAGGUGGGCAAGUAAGUCAGUGGUGAAAUCUCCGGGCUUAACCCGGAAACUGCCAUUGAUACUAUUUGUCUUGAAUACUGUGAAGGUCAGCGGAAUAUGUCAUGUAGCGGUGAAAUGCUUAGAUAUGACAUAGAACACCAAUUGCGAAGGCAGCUGGCUACACAAAUAUUGACACUGAGGCACGAAAGCGUGGGGAUCAAACAGG